AGGACGAACGCUGGCGGCGCGCCUAACACAUGCAAGUCGAGCGAUGAAGCCCUUCGGGGCUGAUUAGCGGCGGACGGGUGAGUAACACGUAGGUAACCUGCCUCAUAGAGGGGGAUAGCCUCCCGAAAGGGAGAUUAAUACCGCAUAAUGUAUUUUGGCUGCAUGGCCGAAAUAUCAAAGGAGUAAUCCGCUAUGAGAUGGACCCGCGGCGCAUUAGCUAGUUGGUGAGGUAACGGCUCACCAAGGCGACGAUGCGUAGCCGACCUGAGAGGGUGAUCGGCCACAUUGGAACUGAGACACGGUCCAGACUCCUACGGGAGGCAGCAGUGGGGAAUAUUGCGCAAUGGGGGAAACCCUGAACCGCAGCAACGCCGCGUGAAUGAUGAAGGCCUUAGGGUUGUAAAGUUCUGUCUUCCGGGACGAUAAUGACGGUACCAGAGGAGGAAGCCACGGCUAACUACGUGCCAGCCGCCGC
RNAcentral lists this ribosomal RNA (475 nucleotides) under uncultured bacterium. RNAcentral describes it as "bacterial SSU rRNA". It matches the Rfam family "Bacterial small subunit ribosomal RNA", at positions 26 to 518 of the family's 1533-position model. The record is from RNAcentral.